Molecule: ribosomal RNA, 508 nt
Filed under: uncultured bacterium
Lineage: Bacteria
Description: partial 16S ribosomal RNA
Rfam family: Bacterial small subunit ribosomal RNA
Source: RNAcentral
GAUGAACGCUAGCUACAGGCUUAACACAUGCAAGUCGAGGGGAAACGAUAUUGGAAGCUUGCUUCCGAUAGGCGUCGACCGGCGCACGGGUGAGUAACGCGUAUCCAACCUGCCUAUCACUUGGGGAUAACCUUGCGAAAGUAAGACUAAUUCCCAAUGAUAUCCGUCGAAGACAUCUGAAGUGGAUUAAAGAUUUAUCGGUGAUGGAUGGGGAUGCGUCUGAUUAGCUUGUUGGCGGGGUAACGGCCCACCAAGGCGACGAUCAGUAGGGGUGAUGAGAGGAAGGUCCCCCACAUUGGAACUGAGACACGGUCCAAACUCCUACGGGAGGCAGCAGUGAGGAAUAUUGGUCAAUGGACGAGAGUCUGAACCAGCCAAGUAGCGUGCAGGAUGACGGCCCUAUGGGUUGUAAACUGCUUUUAUAAGGGAAUAAAGUGAGUCUCGUGAGACUUUUUGCAUGUACCUUAUGAAUAAGGACCGGCUAAUUCCGUGCCAGCCGCCGCCGUAA